CUUGUUAGGAAAUAUGAGAUAAAUAAAUGAAUAUAAAUAGACCCCUCAUAAUGUAUCCUACACAACUACUUCAUUUAUGGGGCCCUGUUUCCAAUAUGUACAUGCUUACUACGGAAUCUCUAUAUGUGCACUCUUACUAAUGAAUGGUAUGUCCUUUCUGUCUAUUAUCAUAUUGCAUGCUAGGUCGGUACUCUGGAUUCAGUGAUGCUACUUUCCCUUUUGUUUUGCUACAUAAUAUUACUUGUUAAUUGUGCAUGGAGUUAUCAAUUCAGCAAUUUAUAUGAGAUUCAAUGACCUUUUACUAUCAUUUCUGUUAUUUUCUUCCUGUUUGCAUAAUAUAUACUUUCUUUGCCAAAAAGAUCGUAAUCUUUUGGAAUUCUAUUAUCAACUCUUUUCAGGCCCUUGAUGCUGAAAGCAUGGAUAUGGAAAUUGAUUUAUCUAAUCUGGGUACUGUCAAU
RNAcentral lists this unclassified non-coding RNA (458 nucleotides) under Hevea brasiliensis (rubber tree). Lineage: Eukaryota; Viridiplantae; Streptophyta; Magnoliopsida; Malpighiales; Euphorbiaceae. The record is from RNAcentral.